Molecule: unclassified non-coding RNA, 326 nt
Filed under: soil metagenome
Description: partial contains 5.8S ribosomal RNA, internal transcribed spacer 2, and large subunit ribosomal RNA
Rfam family: 5.8S ribosomal RNA (bases 1-121)
Source: RNAcentral
GAUGAAGAACCGCAGCGAAAUGCGAUAAGUAAUGCGAAUUGCAGAAUUCAGUGAGUCAUCGAAUCUUUGAACGCACAUUGCGCCCUGUGGUAUUCCGCAGGGCAUGCCUGUUCGAGCGUCAUUUCAACCCUCAAGCCCCGCUUGGUGUUGGGCCCCGCCCGCCGUGGCCGGCCCUAAAGACAGUGGCGGCGCCGCCUGGCCCUCAGCGUAGUACAGCUCUCGCUCCAGGGUCCGGCGGCCGCCUGCCAGAACCCCCCCAACUCUGUGGUUGACCUCGGAUCAGGUAGGGAUACCCGCUGAACUUAAGCAUAUCAAUAAGCGGAGGA